UUCCAAAUAAAACAUGCAGAGGGUACAAUAAAAUCUAGAUGCUUUAAUGUUGACAUAAUUCGUCAUUCACAGAUUUGGGACAGUAAUAAUAAGCUAUUACUAGAGAGCAGAUAUGACAUAGCCAUCUGAAAGCAGAAGAAAAUAUAAAACGAACAUACCCAAUAAAAUGACAUAGAUGUAAAAAAUACAUAUUUUAGUUUAAUGAAUAAAAAGCUCAAGAGGACAUACAAGAAGAACUCCCAGCACUUGGAGACUCUCAUGGCAGCGAUCAUUAUGAUGUGAAUUAUCGUUUUAGGAGGUGUUUCUGUGUCUUCAUACAGAUAGAUACGCCCAACAUGUAAAUUUGGUACUCGGUAGCCCGUUUGGUUCUUCAAUUUUCUUCAUAUCUUCUAAUAAUUUAUGGGUAGUUAGGAGCUUUUUGCAUGACCAGAGUGUUCACUGUCAAUCAGUUUGGUUGGAUUUGGUUUUUGACCAUCUGCUAUUCUGAGCGAGGCAGGCAGGAAAUAUUUUUCAAUAUCUUCUUGUCUCCCUUCUAGUAGUCCUGUUUAGAAAACUAGUGCUCCGUGUCAAGUUCUCCCCACAUAAACAUCAGAAAGACGAGCUUCAUCUUGUGGGGAUUUAAUGUCACAAGGCUUUUUAGUCAAUUGCCUGAUCAGUUAAGCUCAUCUUGUGCAUUAGGCUAUUACACUCACUUCAUCUUGUGUGUAGAUGACUCCUUCAUUGACCGACCUUUGUGAAAAUCGGGUUAUGUAAACACUUGGAUUUUCAACCAGUUCUUAGAGCCUGGCUUGUGUAUUUCGUUGAGAAGAUAGAAACAAUGUUUUCUAUAAACAACUUAGGGAAGGAGGGGCAUGCUAUUUACUCCUUCUUGGAAAGGGUGUUUUGUCAAACCGAAUUUCUUAGGGACCAGAUUCAGGCAAAGUGAAUUUUACAUGUGUUACUCAAACGGCCCCAAGAGGUAAAUAAUCCUUACCAAAAAAUGUGUAAAAUUGUACAUUUCAACCGCCCCCAGAGGCAGGGGCAUAGCACAACCGAAGCAGUUUGGUGGCCCAUAAGCAGAUGUGUUCAACCCCAGGGGCCCGUUGGUUAUCUAGAUAAUGGUUGGUUUCACAAAAAUAAAACUUGAAAUAUGCUAUGUUUAAGAAUUACUAAAAAUUAACUAUAUUAACUUAUUAUAUUUACAUGAAAUUUAGAUUAUAGAUGCUAACUUCUUAAAACAUAAACCGCCCCAAAGAUGAAUUUUAAAUGUGUUACUCAAAACCGCCCCAAAGAGGUAAAUAAUGCUUACCAAAAAAUGUGCAAAAUUAUACAUUUCAACCGCCCCGAACAACCGAGGCAGUUUGGUGGUGGCGCAUAAGCAGACGCAGGGGCCUGUUGGUUAUCUAGAUGAAGGAUCCGCCCAAGUAAAUGGGAAAGGCAGUUGCCUACUUCGCCUCGUGCCCACCAGCCAGGACAGUCAAGAAAUACAAGAAUCAUUCAUCCGUUUUGAUAAUGUUCAUCCUUAUCAGGAACGAUAAUCAUCCCAACGGCCAAACAACGCUAACUGUUCAUCUCAUCAUACGAGCGUGUGACUAUAAAUAGGGGAAGAGAGGAAAGAAAGAAAAGGAACUCGGCUGUUGCUCAUCGUAUCGAAACUGCUGGAACCCUUCGUCCAUCUUCCGCUGCCCACAUGGUGCUUUGAAGGAUGGAUGCGUAUACAUCCUUGACAUUGGCGUUGAACCAGGUUUCUGGCCCGGUCAUGGUGUCUUGCCGCGGACGUUCUCUUCUAAUGCAAGAUCUUUUUCCUGGAUAAGCAAUUAACCACUCCAGAAAGUGUUCUUGCUAUGUCACAAUGACAACAUGUUGUAGGUAAAACUUGCAUCUGAAGAGAAAUAAGCCGAUAAAGCUUCCUGAAGUCUAAACUUGUGAAAGUGUUGGAAACUUUGCAUCUUAUGCACAUAGAGCCAAGAAAAGAAACCAAGUUGGAGUCAGCAGCUUCUAGUUUCAAACAUUACAAGAACAUGCCUCGACAAAAGCACAGUGUGGGACAUUCAUAGAUCUAUGAAGUAGUCACCAGCUCUAACAGAAGAAAAUUCCAAAUUCAUGCAAACUAACACAACAUUUUCAGCAGAACAGAACUAGAAAAGUGUAACUCGAGCAGAAACCACAAGAAACUUGACAUACUUGUACAUCUUCCAGAAAAAGAUCCUGAAUCCUUCCUGAAGACUGACCGAGGUGAUCAGAAGAGUUGCAUGUAGCCAUAUUGAAGAUUGUAGAGGAAGAAAGGCUCACUAUGCUGCAGACAAGAUGAUCAGGUUCACAAGCCACAAAAGUGCACUGCAUCAAUACGACAAAAAGAAAAAGAAAGUGAAAUGACAAAUCUGAAGAACAUAAAUAUGUGUGCCUCAGGUAGAAAAAAAUUGCACAUAUGGUAAACCAGAAUUCAUUGUACUCGAGAAGUAACAUGGACAAAUUAUGUCACAUAGGCUUGCCAAAACAGGUGCCACACCCAAGUGGACUCAUAUUGGAUCUGGGUGCAGGUUUGCCAACCGGAACGGACUAUUGUCAUCAAGCGCUUGCAAGACUCUAGCCAACAGAAGCGCAGUCUGGUGAACAAAGCCUGAGCACACAGACUCAGUCAAAAUGCACCAACUCCCUUUUUGUGAAACAUUUUUGCUAUUGCCAUUGGUUUUUCUUGAUAAAAUUUCUAUCAGUAGCAUAGCUUGCCUUUACUUGAUUCUGUUAUGUAUGUACUUAUAAUUAUUAAGGGUUCGUUGAUUCUCACCA
Long non-coding RNA from Nymphaea colorata (pocket water lily), 2766 nucleotides. RefSeq lists it as uncharacterized. The transcript is spliced from 5 exons. The record is from RefSeq and is a predicted model, not a curated record. NCBI's taxonomy places the organism in Eukaryota, Viridiplantae, Streptophyta, Magnoliopsida, Nymphaeales, Nymphaeaceae.